RNAcentral lists this ribosomal RNA (754 nucleotides) under uncultured Actinomyces sp. RNAcentral's name for it is "bacterial SSU rRNA". It matches the Rfam family "Bacterial small subunit ribosomal RNA", at positions 28 to 776 of the family's 1533-position model. The record is from RNAcentral. Lineage: Bacteria; Bacillati; Actinomycetota; Actinomycetes; Actinomycetales; Actinomycetaceae.
GACGAACGCUGGCGGCGUGCUUAACACAUGCAAGUCGAACGCUGAAGCCUGGCUUUUGUUGGGUGGAUGAGUGGCGAACGGGUGAGUAACACGUGAGUAACCUGCCCUCUUCUUUGGGAUAACGCCCGGAAACGGGUGCUAAUACUGGAUAUUCACUUGCCUUCGCAUGGGGGUGGGUGGAAAGGGUUUUUUCUGGUGGGGGAUGGGCUCGCGGCCUAUCAGCUUGUUGGUGGGGUGAUGGCUUACCAAGGCUUUGACGGGUAGCCGGCCUGAGAGGGUGACCGGUCACAUUGGGACUGAGAUACGGCCCAGACUCCUACGGGAGGCAGCAGUGGGGAAUAUUGCACAAUGGGCGCAAGCCUGAUGCAGCGACGCCGCGUGAGGGAUGGAGGCCUUCGGGUUGUGAACCUCUUUCGCUCAUGGUCAAGCCGCAACUCAUGGUUGUGGUGAGGGUAGUGGGUAAAGAAGCGCCGGCUAACUACGUGCCAGCAGCCGCGGUAAUACGUAGGGCGCGAGCGUUGUCCGGAAUUAUUGGGCGUAAAGGGCUUGUAGGCGGUUGGUCGCGUCUGCCGUGAAAUCCUCUGGCUUAACUGGGGGCGUGCGGUGGGUACGGGCUGGCUUGAGUGCGGUAGGGGAGACUGGAACUCCUGGUGUAGCGGUGGAANGCGCAGAUAUCAGGAAGAACACNNGUGGCGAAGGCGGGUCUCUGGGCCGUUACUGACGCUGAGGAGCGAAAGCGUGGGGAGCGAACAGG